This 468-nucleotide ribosomal RNA is filed under the name uncultured bacterium. RNAcentral describes it as "partial 16S ribosomal RNA". It matches the Rfam family "Bacterial small subunit ribosomal RNA", at positions 28 to 507 of the family's 1533-position model. The record is from RNAcentral.
GAUGAACGCUGGCGGCGUGCUUAACACAUGCAAGUCGAACGGUGAAGCAGAGCUUGCUCUGUGGAUCAGUGGCGAACGGGUGAGUAACACGUGAGCAACCUGCCCCUGACUCUGGGAUAAGCGCUGGAAACGGCGUCUAAUACUGGAUGUGAGCUGCGACCGCAUGGUCAGCAGUUGGAAAGAUUUUUCGGUCUGGGAUAGGCUCACGGCCUAUCAGCUUGUUGGUGAGGUAAUGGCUCACCAAGGCGUCGACGGGUAGCCGGCCUGAGAGGGUGACCGGGCCAAAUGGGGAUGGAGACACGGCCCAGCCUCCGAGGGGGGGAAGCGGGGGGAAUAAUUGAACAAGGGCGGAAAGCUUGAUGCAGCAACGCGGGGGGGGGGAGGACGGCUUGCGGGUUGUAAACCUCUUUAGGCGGGGAAGAAGGGAAAGUGACGGUCCCUGAAAAAAAAGCGCCGGCUAACUACGGG